AGAGUUUGAUCCUGGCUCAGGACGAACGCUGGCGGCGUGCCUAAUACAUGCAAGUAGAACGCUGAAGAGAGGAGCUUGCUCUUCUUGGAUGAGUUGCGAACGGGUGAGUAACGCGUAGGUAACCUGCCUUGUAGCGGGGGAUAACUAUUGGAAACGACAGCUAAUACCGCAUAACAAUGGAUGACACAUGUCAUUUAUUUGAAAGGGGCAAUUGCUCCACUACAAGAUGGACCUGCGUUGUAUUAGCUAGUAGGUGAGGUAACGGCUCACCUAGGCGACGAUACAUAGCCGACCUGAGAGGGUGAUCGGCCACACUGGGACUGAGACACGGCCCAGACUCCUACGGGAGGCAGCAGUAGGGAAUCUUCGGCAAUGGGGGCAACCCUGACCGAGCAACGCCGCGUGAGUGAAGAAGGUUUUCGGAUCGUAAAGCUCUGUUGUAAGUCAAGAACGAGUGUGAGAGUGGAAAGUUCACACUGUGACGGUAGCUUACCAGAAAGGGACGGCUAACUACGUGCCAGCAGCCGCGGUAAUACGUAGGUCCCGAGCGUUGUCCGGAUUUAUUGGGCGUAAAGCGAGCGCAGGCGGUUUGAUAAGUCUGAAGUUAAAGGCUGUGGCUCAACCAUAGUUUGCUUUGGAAACUGUCAAACUUGAGUGCAGAAGGGGAGAGUGGAAUUCCAUGUGUAGCGGUGAAAUGCGUAGAUAUAUGGAGGAACACCGGUGGCGAAAGCGGCUCUCUGGUCUGUAACUGACGCUGAGGCUCGAAAGCGUGGGGAGCGAACAGGAUUAGAUACCCUGGUAGUCCACGCCGUAAACGAUGAGUGCUAGGUGUUGGAUCCUUUCCGGGAUUCAGUGCCGCAGCUAACGCAUUAAGCACUCCGCCUGGGGAGUACGACCGCAAGGUUGAAACUCAAAGGAAUUGACGGGGGCCCGCACAAGCGGUGGAACCAUGUGGUUUAAUUCGAAGCAACGCGAAGAACCUUACCAGGUCUUGACAUCCCGAUGCUAUUUCUAGAGAUAGAAAGUUACUUCGGUACAUCGGUGACAGGUGGUGCAUGGUUGUCGUCAGCUCGUGUCGUGAGAUGUUGGGUUAAGUCCCGCAACGAGCGCAACCCCUAUUGUUAGUUGCCAUCAUUCAGUUGGGCACUCUAGCGAGACUGCCGGUAAUAAACCGGAGGAAGGUGGGGAUGACGUCAAAUCAUCAUGCCCCUUAUGACCUGGGCUACACACGUGCUACAAUGGUUGGUACAACGAGUUGCGAGUCGGUGACGGCAAGCUAAUCUCUUAAAGCCAAUCUCAGUUCGGAUUGUAGGCUGCAACUCGCCUACAUGAAGUCGGAAUCGCUAGUAAUCGCGGAUCAGCACGCCGCGGUGAAUACGUUCCCGGGCCUUGCACACACCGCCCGUC
RNAcentral lists this ribosomal RNA (1407 nucleotides) under uncultured bacterium. RNAcentral describes it as "bacterial SSU rRNA". It matches the Rfam family "Bacterial small subunit ribosomal RNA". The record is from RNAcentral.